This 417-nucleotide ribosomal RNA is filed under the name Triticum aestivum (bread wheat). RNAcentral describes it as "partial small subunit ribosomal RNA". The record is from RNAcentral. Lineage: Eukaryota; Viridiplantae; Streptophyta; Magnoliopsida; Poales; Poaceae.
AUGCAUAGAAAAAAAAGUCCACAACAGAUAACUAAAACAUUGGUUGUUAUCAACUGUGAUCACCAACCUCACAACGAUGCUAUGAAUUCUCAUACUCAGUGUAAUAUAUCGCAUCUGACGAAAAGUGGCUUUGGACUUCUUCCAGCCUACCACUUCAUCAUGUACUACCUAUUCAAAAUAGCAAGAGUGUAUAGUAAGAAACUGGACAAGAACCAUCCCCUGGAAGCUCCUGUUCUACCCCAGCAAGAACAGACACAUCUUCUGCGACCGUACGUAGGUACGAAAGCGCCGGCAAAGCACACCAAGGCACCAGGCUUGCAAAACAGGUAUAACGGUCGAAAUAAGAGCAGACAUCCCGCUCACACGCAACCACCAAAUAUAAGCAUAAAACGGAAGUCACACGAGACUGAAAAAUAA